CCUACGGGCGGCAGCAGUGGGGAGUAUUGCACAAUGGGGGAAACCCUGAUGCAGCGACGCCGCGUGAGUGAAGAAGUAAUUCGUUACGUAAAGCUCUAUCAGCAGGGAAGAAAAUGACGGUAACUGAGUAAGUAGCCCCGGCUAAAUACGUGCCAGCAGCCGCGGUAAUACGUAGGGGGCAAGCGUUCACCGGAUUUAAUGGGUGUAAAGGGAGCGUAGACGGUGCGCCAAGUCUGGAGUGAAAUGCCGUAGCUUAAAUCCGGAACUGCUUUGGAUACUGGCAAACUAGAGUGAGAGAGGGGUAAGCGGAAUUCCAAGUGUAGCGGUGAAAUGCGUAGAUAUUAGGAGGAACACCGGUGGCGAAGGCAGCUUACUGGACCGUAACUGACGUUGAGGGUCGAAAGCGUGGGGAGCAAACAGGAUUAGAUACCCUUGUAGUC
RNAcentral lists this ribosomal RNA (440 nucleotides) under uncultured bacterium. RNAcentral describes it as "partial 16S ribosomal RNA". It matches the Rfam family "Bacterial small subunit ribosomal RNA", at positions 338 to 795 of the family's 1533-position model. The record is from RNAcentral.